RNAcentral lists this ribosomal RNA (257 nucleotides) under uncultured Synergistaceae bacterium. RNAcentral describes it as "partial 16S ribosomal RNA". It matches the Rfam family "Bacterial small subunit ribosomal RNA", at positions 1129 to 1382 of the family's 1533-position model. The record is from RNAcentral. Lineage: Bacteria; Thermotogati; Synergistota; Synergistia; Synergistales; Synergistaceae.
AGCCGGGCACUCUGGCGGGACUGCCAUCGACAAGAUGGAGGAAGGUGGGGAGUGACGUCAAGUCAUCAUGGCCCUUAUGUCCAGGGCGACGACACGUGCUACAGUGGCCGGCACAGCGGGAAGCGAGGCAGUGAUGCCAAGCGGAUCCCUUAAAGCCGGUCUCAGUUCGGAUUGAAGUCUGCAACUCGACUUCAUGAAGCUGGAAUCGCUAGUAAUCGCAGAUCAGCCAAGCUGCGGUGAAUACGUUCCCGGGCCUU